This 135-nucleotide ribosomal RNA is filed under the name uncultured bacterium. RNAcentral's name for it is "partial 16S ribosomal RNA". It matches the Rfam family "Bacterial small subunit ribosomal RNA", at positions 355 to 507 of the family's 1533-position model. RNAcentral also lists the same sequence under 1 other name. The record is from RNAcentral.
UGGGGAAUAUUGGACAAUGGGCGCAAGCCUGAUCCAGCCAUGCCGCGUGAGUGAUGAAGGCCCUAGGGUUGUAAAGCUCUUUCGCCAGGGACGAUAAUGACGGUACCUGGAUAAGAAGCCCCGGCUAACUUCGUG